AGCGAACGCUAGCGGCGGGCUUAACACAUGCAAGUCGAGCGGAGGGGCAACCCUUAGCGGUCGGACGGGUGAGUAACACGUAGGUAACGUAUCCUCUGGUGGGGAAUAACCGUGGGAAACCAUGGCUAAUACCGCAUAUCGUAUGAAAGUAUGAAAGCCUUCGGGCGCCAGUUGAGCGGCCCUGCGGCCCAUUAGUUAGUUGGCGGGGUAACGGCCCACCAAGACGUAUGAUGGGUAGCUGGUCUGAGAGGAUGAUCAGCCACACUGGAACUGAGACACGGUCCAGACUCCUACGGGAGGCAGCAGUGGGGAAUAUUGCGCAAUGGGCGAAAG
RNAcentral lists this ribosomal RNA (333 nucleotides) under uncultured bacterium. RNAcentral describes it as "bacterial SSU rRNA". It matches the Rfam family "Bacterial small subunit ribosomal RNA", at positions 29 to 381 of the family's 1533-position model. The record is from RNAcentral.